This 498-nucleotide ribosomal RNA is filed under the name uncultured bacterium. RNAcentral's name for it is "partial 16S ribosomal RNA". It matches the Rfam family "Bacterial small subunit ribosomal RNA", at positions 28 to 507 of the family's 1533-position model. The record is from RNAcentral.
GACGAACGCUGGCGGCGUGCCUAAUACAUGCAAGUCGAACGAGAGCGGCCGGUGCUUGCACUGGUCAAUCUAGUGGCGAACGGGUGAGUAACACGUGGGUAACCUGCCCAUCAGAGGGGGAUAACAUUCGGAAACGGAUGCUAAAACCGCAUAGGUCUUCGAACCGCAUGGUUUGAAGAGGAAAAGAGGCGCAAGCUUCUGCUGAUGGAUGGACCCGCGGUGCAUUAGCUAGUUGGUGAGGUAACGGCUCACCAAGGCCGUGAUGCAUAGCCGACCUGAGAGGGUGAUCGGCCACAUUGGGACUGAGACACGGCCCAAACUCCUACGGGAGGCAGCAGUAGGGAAUCUUCCGCAAUGGACGCAAGUCUGACGGUGCAACGCCGCGUGAGUGAAGAAGGUGUUCGGAUCGUAAAACUCUGUUGUUAGAGAAGAAUAAGUGCUAGAGUAACUGUUAGCGCCUUGACGGUAUCUAACCAGAAAGCCACGGCUAACUACGUG